Molecule: ribosomal RNA, 789 nt
Filed under: uncultured bacterium
Lineage: Bacteria
Description: bacterial SSU rRNA
Rfam family: Bacterial small subunit ribosomal RNA
Source: RNAcentral
UAGAGUUUGAUCAUGGCUCAGAACGAACGCUGGCGGCAGGCUUAACACAUGCAAGUCGAACGAGAUCUUCGGAUCUAGUGGCGGACGGGUGAGUAACGCGUGGGAACGUGCCCUUUACUACGGAAUAGUCCCGGGAAACUGGGUUUAAUACCGUAUACGCCCUUCGGGGGAAAGAAUUUCGGUGAAGGAUCGGCCCGCGUUGGAUUAGGUAGUUGGUGGGGUAAUGGCCUACCAAGCCGACGAUCCAUAGCUGGUUUUAGAGGAUGAUCAGCCACACUGGGACUGAGACACGGCCCAGACUCCUACGGGAGGCAGCAGUGGGGAAUCUUAGACAAUGGGGGAAACCCUGAUCUAGCCAUGCCGCGUGAGUGACGAAGGCCUUAGGGUCGUAAAGCUCUUUCAACGGUGAAGAUAAUGACGGUAGCCGUAGAAGAAACCCCGGCUAACUCCGUGCCAGCAGCCGCGGUAAUACGGAGGGGGUUAGCGUUGUUCGGAAUUACUGGGCGUAAAGCGCGCGUAGGCGGAUUGGAAAGUUGGGGGUGAAAUCCCGGGGCUCAACCCCGGAACUGCCUCCAAAACUAUCAGUCUAGAGUUCGAGAGAGGUGAGUGGAAUUCCGAGUGUAGAGGUGAAAUUCGUAGAUAUUCGGAGGAACACCAGUGGCGAAGCGGCUCACUGGCUCGAUACUGACGCUGAGUGCGAAAGUGUGGGGAGCAACAGGAUUAGAUACCCUGGUAGUCCACACGUAAACGAUGAAUGCCAGUCGUCGGGUAGCAUGCUAUUCGGUGACC